CAGAAAUGAUGCUAGGUAGCUGAUAGAUCUGUAGUUCAACUUGAUUCCUAGAUAGAAGCUGGAUUCAUCUAAUACCAGAAAAAUGAAAUCUCACGUUACUGAAACUAGAUCUGAGUCUCACUUCUUUCCCAGCCUGGAACUCCUGGGUGCUGUGAGUCCUGGAUAUAUAAUAGAUGGUGACAACAUCUUUCUUUUAUGCAUGAAGGUAGAUGAUUCUUCAAAUUAAAGAUGGAAGCUGACUUCUCACCAGAAAUGGUUUGUAGAAUCAACUUACAAAAAUGUCAGAGGCAGCGAAGGAAAGAGUAAAAUAUUUCUUUCUAUCAGCCUUCGAUUCUUUGCUAGAUUGUAAACUUCAUGAAAGCAGAAUAACUUCCUUAUCCCUAAUGCCUGGCCCAGAAUAGAUACUCAAAAAAUAGUUGAAAUGAAUGGAAAUCUCCCUUG
Molecule: long non-coding RNA, 441 nt
Organism: Equus caballus (horse)
Lineage: Eukaryota; Metazoa; Chordata; Mammalia; Perissodactyla; Equidae
Source: RefSeq, a predicted model, not a curated record